Molecule: small nuclear RNA, 107 nt
Filed under: Echinops telfairi (small Madagascar hedgehog)
Lineage: Eukaryota; Metazoa; Chordata; Mammalia; Afrosoricida; Tenrecidae
Source: RNAcentral
GCGUUCGCACCGGCAGCACGUCGACCACAAGGCAACGAUAGGAGGGGAUUCGCAUGGCCCCUGCGGGCAAGGAUGACACGCACAUUCAUGACGCCUCCCGUAUUUUU